Molecule: transfer RNA, 74 nt
Organism: Methanobacterium sp.
Lineage: Archaea; Methanobacteriati; Methanobacteriota; Methanobacteria; Methanobacteriales; Methanobacteriaceae
Rfam family: tRNA
About the family: Transfer RNA (tRNA) molecules are approximately 80 nucleotides in length. Their secondary structure includes four short double-helical elements and three loops (D, anti-codon, and T loops).
Source: Rfam
GGGCCCGUAGCUCAGUCUGGCAGAGCGCUCGGCUCUUAACCGAGUUGCCGCGGGUUCAAUUCCCGUCGGGCCCG